AUAUUGGCUAAUGGAGGGAACUCUGAACCAGCCAAGCCGCCUGCAGGAUGACGGUUCUACUGAUUGUAAAUUGCUUUUGUACAGGAAGAAAACACACUACGUGUAAUGAAUUGACGGUACUGUAAUUUUAAUGAUCGGUUAUCUCCGUGUAAGACGCUGCCGUAUUACGGAGGAUUCAAGCGUUAUCCGUAAUCCUUGGGUUUAAAGGUUCCGUAGGAGGCCUUAUGAGUCAGCGGUGAAAGUUUUUGGCUUAACAAAAAAAUUGCCGUUGAGACUGUAGGGCUUGAAUUUUUGUGAAGUGACUAGAAUAUGUAGUGUAGCGGUGAAAUGCUUAGAUAUUAAAUGGAAUACCAAAUGCGAAAGCAGGUUACUAACAAACGAUUGACGCUGAUGGACGAAAGCGUGUGUAGCGAACA
RNAcentral lists this ribosomal RNA (416 nucleotides) under uncultured bacterium. Its description in RNAcentral is "partial 16S ribosomal RNA". It matches the Rfam family "Bacterial small subunit ribosomal RNA", at positions 361 to 774 of the family's 1533-position model. The record is from RNAcentral.